Molecule: ribosomal RNA, 525 nt
Filed under: uncultured bacterium
Lineage: Bacteria
Description: bacterial SSU rRNA
Rfam family: Bacterial small subunit ribosomal RNA
Source: RNAcentral
UGAGGAAUUUUCCGCAAUGGGCGAAAGCCUGACGGAGCGACGCCGCGUGUGGGAAGAAGGCCUUCGGGUCGUAAACCACUGUCGAAGGGGAAGAUAUUGACGGUACCCUUGGAGGAAGCCCCGGCUAACUACGUGCCAGCAGCCGCGGUAAGACGUAGGAUGCAAGCGUUGUCCGGAUUUAUUGGGCGUAAAGAGUUCGUAGGUGGUUUGUUAAGUCUGAUGUUAAAGAUUGGGGCUCAACCCCGAAAAUGCAUUGGAUACUGGCAGACUUGAGUGUGGUAGAGGCUAGUGGAAUUCCCAGUGUAGCGGUGAAAUGCGUAGAUAUUGGGAAGAACACCGGUGGCGUAGGCGACUAGCUGGGCCAUAACUGACACUGAGGAACGAAAGCCAGGGUAGCGAAUGGGAUUAGAUACCCCAGUAGUCCUGGCCGUAAACGAUGCGAACUGGAUGUUGGGUGCAACUUGGCACUCAGUAUCGAAGCUAACGCGUUAAGUUCGCCGCCUGGGGAGUACGGUCGCAAGACUG